This 77-nucleotide transfer RNA is filed under the name Marmota monax (woodchuck). RNAcentral's name for it is "tRNA.Ala". The record is from RNAcentral. Lineage: Eukaryota; Metazoa; Chordata; Mammalia; Rodentia; Sciuridae.
GCUGGGAAUGUAGCUUAGUGGUAGAACGCUUGCUUGCCUAGCAUGCAGGAGGCCUGGGUUCUACCCCAAGUCCUGCA